This 469-nucleotide ribosomal RNA is filed under the name uncultured bacterium. RNAcentral describes it as "bacterial SSU rRNA". It matches the Rfam family "Bacterial small subunit ribosomal RNA", at positions 329 to 794 of the family's 1533-position model. The record is from RNAcentral.
GUCCAGACUCCUACGGGAGGCAGCAGUGAGGAAUAUUGGUCAAUGGGCGGAAGCCUGAACCAGCCAAGUCGCGUGAGGGAUUAAGGCCCUGCGGGUCGUAAACCUCUUUUGCCGGGGAGCAGUGGUCCGGACGCGUCCGGACCGGGAGAGUACCCGGAGAAAAAGCAUCGGCUAACUCCGUGCCAGCAGCCGCGGUAAUACGGAGGAUGCGAGCGUUAUCCGGAUUUAUUGGGUUUAAAGGGAGCGUAGGCCGCAUGUUAAGCGUGCCGUGAAAUGCCGUGGCUCAACCAUGGCACUGCGGCGCGAACUGGCUUGCUUGAGUGCGCGGAACGUAUGCGGAAUUCGUGGUGUAGCGGUGAAAUGCUUAGAUAUCACGAAGAACUCCGAUUGCGAAGGCAGCAUACGGCAGCGCUACUGACGCUGAAGCUCGAAGGCGCGGGUAUCGAGCAGGAUUAGAUACCCCAGUAGG